RNAcentral lists this ribosomal RNA (492 nucleotides) under uncultured bacterium. Its description in RNAcentral is "partial 16S ribosomal RNA". It matches the Rfam family "Bacterial small subunit ribosomal RNA", at positions 29 to 507 of the family's 1533-position model. The record is from RNAcentral.
AGUGAACGCUGGCGGUAGGCCUAACACAUGCAAGUCGAACGGCAGCACAGUAAGAGCUUGCUCUUACGGGUGGCGAGUGGCGGACGGGUGAGGAGUACAUCGGAAUCUACUUUUUCGUGGGGGAUAACGUAGGGAAACUUACGCUAAUACCGCAUACGACCUACGGGUGAAAGCAGGGGAUCUUCGGACCUUGCGCGAUUGAAUGAGCCCAUGUCGGAUUAGCCAGUUGGCGGGGUAAAGGCCCACCAAGGCGACGAUCCGUACCUGGUCUGAGAGGAUGAUCAGCCACACUGGAACGGAGACACGGUCCAGACUCCUACGGGAGGCAGCAGUGGGGAAUAUUGGACAAUGGGCGCAAGCCUGAUCCAGCCAUACCGCGUGGGUGAAGAAGGCCUUCGGGUUGUAAAGCCCUUUUGUUGGGAAAGAAAAGCAGCAGGUUAAUACCCCGCUGUUCUGACGGUACCCAAAGAAUAAGCACCGGCUAACUUCGUG